Molecule: non-coding RNA, 1040 nt
Organism: Rattus norvegicus (Norway rat)
Lineage: Eukaryota; Metazoa; Chordata; Mammalia; Rodentia; Muridae
Source: RefSeq, a predicted model, not a curated record
UUUGUAAAUGCGGCAGUCUAAUGUGUUAUUGGGCAGCAAUUCGAGUUUAAAUGAGCAUGUGGGAUGGUUUAACAGCUGAUUGCACAGCGUGAAUGACUGCAGCGGAACUGUCAGGUUGGGAAGCGGUGCUGGUAGGGGAAUUCAUGCAGUUAGCACCCAGAGUCGCGCAUGCGUGUUACUUAGCGCAGAGACCUAGGAACUUAGCCCAGGUCUCUUGAUACAAAAGGGAAAUGGAGGGCAAGAAGGGAGGAUUGGAGUCUGAUUUGAGGGGCAGCAUAAAACUUGUCUCUGCCUGCAUGCAACCUUCACCUCUUCUGUGAGUCAUCCAUGGGGCGCCCUGGCCACUCAGCACUGCACCUCUUGUAGGAAGCGGUCGAUCUGAGAUCACAGCGCACACGUGAAGGUCAGAUGACAACUUGCAGGGGUCAGUUCUCUUCCUCCACCACGUGGCUCCCAGGGGAAGGGGACCUCAGGCUUGUCAGGCGCCGGAGGGAAUCAGAACUAGAUUCCACUUGGUAAGCGGACGCGGCGAUGAAGACAGGAAUCAACACCACUGUUGAAACGGACCGACAGGAUCCAGCAUAGCUCAUCCCAUGGCUCCCUGCCACUGCGUUUAUAAUCCAUUCCCCUGCCCCCCCCCCCCAAACUGUAUAAAAGCCAUUGGCAAGGACAGUCGCCACAAACAGCAGGCAAACGGAGACCGAAGAGCUGAGCCAACAAGGAUCUCCACUACCCUCUAAUCCGGCCUGCACCAAACAAAACACAACUCGGUAGGAAACACCAUGAGUGAACAGAAGCCUCACUGGAGAGCUCACUGUGGAUGAAUGCCAGGUGACUAUUGGUGCCCAUCGCCAAGGACUUACUUUUCCCUGUUUAAGGACACAUACAGGGUUAGGGGGAAAGACUCUCUGGCAAUUACAGAGUCUGGUCUUGGUUAAGACGGGGCUUAGCAUCAACACUAUUAUAUUUUCUCUAUCCAAGCACCUGUUUGAGAAGAUUCCAAACUGUAUAAAUGAUUUCAGACUUAUUUCAAUUAAAUU